UACGUAGGGUGCGAGCGUUAAUCGGAAUUACCGGGCUUAAAGGGUGCGUAGGCCGGCCCGCAAGUGACUUGUGAAAUCCCCCGGCUCAACCGGGGAACAGCUCGUCAUACUGCGGGUCUUGAGGAAGGUAGGGGUUGCCAGAACUGUAGGUGGAGCGGUGAAAUGCGUAGAUAUCUACAGGAAUGCCGAUGGUGAAGACGGGCAACUGGGCCUUUCCUGACGCUGAGGCACGAAAGCGUGGGGAGCAAACAGG
Molecule: ribosomal RNA, 253 nt
Filed under: uncultured bacterium
Lineage: Bacteria
Description: partial 16S ribosomal RNA
Rfam family: Bacterial small subunit ribosomal RNA
Source: RNAcentral